Molecule: ribosomal RNA, 408 nt
Filed under: uncultured bacterium
Lineage: Bacteria
Description: bacterial SSU rRNA
Rfam family: Bacterial small subunit ribosomal RNA
Source: RNAcentral
UGGGGAAUUUUACGCAAUGGGGGAAACCCUGACGUAGCGACACCGCGUGAGCGAAGAAGCCCCUUGGGGUGUAAAGCUCUGUCAGCUGGAACGAAAAAAAAUGACGGUACCAGCAGAGGAAGCAUCGGCUAACUACGUGCCAGCAGCCGCGGUAAGACGUAGGAUGCGAGCGUUGUCCGGAUUUAUUGGGCGUAAAGAGUUCGUAGGUGGUUUGUCAAGUCUGAUGUUAAAGAUCGGGGCUCAACCCUGGGACUGCAUUGGAUACUGGCAGACUUGAGUGUGGUAGAGGCUAGUGGAAUUCCCAGUGUAGCGGUGAAAUGCGUAGAUAUUGGGAAGAACACCGGUGGCGUAGGCGACUAGCUGGGCCAUAACUGACACUGAGGAACGAAAGCCAGGGUAGCGAAUGGG